CUUGCUAAGGCCGAUGGCGACCGGCGCACGGGUGAGUAACACGUAUCCAACCUGCCGUCUACUCUUGGACAGCCUUCUGAAAGGAAGAUUAAUACAAGAUGGCAUCAUGAGUUCGCAUGUUCACAUGAUUAAAGGUAUUCCGGUAGACGAUGGGGAUGCGUUCCAUUAGAUAGUAGGCGGGGUAACGGCCCACCUAGUCUUCGAUGGAUAGGGGUUCUGAGAGGAAGGUCCCCCACAUUGGAACUGAGACACGGUCCAAACUCCUACGGGAGGCAGCAGUGAGGAAUAUUGGUCAAUGGGCGCAGGCCUGAACCAGCCAAGUAGCGUGAAGGAUGACUGCCCUAUGGGUUGUAAACUUCUUUUAUAAAGGAAUAAAGUCGGGUAUGUAUACCCGUUUGCAUGUACUUUAUGAAUAAGGAUCGGCUAACUCCGUGCCAGCAGCCGCGGUAAUACGGAGGAUCCGAGCGUUAUCCAGAUUUAUUGGGUUUAAAGGGAGCGUAGAUGGAUGUUUAAGUCAGUUGUGAAAGUUUGCGGCUCAACCGUAAAAUUGCAGUUGAUACCGGAUAUCUUGAGUGCAGUUGAGGCAGGCGGAAUUCGUGGUGUAGCGGUGAAAUGCUUAGAUAUCACGAAGAACUCCGAUUGCGAAGGCAGCCUGCUAAGCUGCAACUGACAU
This 673-nucleotide ribosomal RNA is filed under the name uncultured Bacteroidales bacterium. RNAcentral describes it as "bacterial SSU rRNA". It matches the Rfam family "Bacterial small subunit ribosomal RNA", at positions 76 to 746 of the family's 1533-position model. The record is from RNAcentral. Lineage: Bacteria; Pseudomonadati; Bacteroidota; Bacteroidia; Bacteroidales.